RNAcentral lists this ribosomal RNA (319 nucleotides) under Bacillus pumilus. Its description in RNAcentral is "bacterial SSU rRNA". It matches the Rfam family "Bacterial small subunit ribosomal RNA", at positions 16 to 325 of the family's 1533-position model. The record is from RNAcentral. Lineage: Bacteria; Bacillati; Bacillota; Bacilli; Caryophanales; Bacillaceae.
AUCCUGGCUCAGGACGAACGCUGGCGGCGUGCCUAAUACAUGCAAGUCGAGCGAACAGAAGGGAGCUUGCUCCCGGAUGUUAGCGGCGGACGGGUGAGUAACACGUGGGUAACCUGCCUGUAAGACUGGGAUAACUCCGGGAAACCGGAGCUAAUACCGGAUAGUUCCUUGAACCGCAUGGUUCAAGGAUGAAAGACGGUUUCGGCUGUCACUUACAGAUGGACCCGCGGCGCAUUAGCUAGUUGGUGGGGUAAUGGCUCACCAAGGCGACGAUGCGUAGCCGACCUGAGAGGGUGAUCGGCCACACUGGGACUGAGAC